GCCCCGGUAGUGUAGUCCGGUUAAGCGCAAGCGCCGAUAGCAUACAGGCCUUUCGAGCCUGCGACCCGGGUUCGAAUCCCGGCCGGGGCA
This 90-nucleotide transfer RNA is filed under the name candidate division MSBL1 archaeon SCGC-AAA385D11. Its description in RNAcentral is "candidate divison MSBL1 archaeon SCGC-AAA385D11 tRNA". It matches the Rfam family "tRNA". From Rfam's summary of the family: Transfer RNA (tRNA) molecules are approximately 80 nucleotides in length. Their secondary structure includes four short double-helical elements and three loops (D, anti-codon, and T loops). Lineage: Archaea; Methanobacteriati; Methanobacteriota. The record is from Rfam by way of RNAcentral.